AACGAACGCUGGCGGCAGGCUUAACACAUGCAAGUCGAACGCACUCUUCGGAGUGAGUGGCAGACGGGUGAGUAACGCGUGGGAAUGUGCCUAUCGGUACGGAAUAGCUCCGGGAAACUGGAAUUAAUGCCGUAUACGCCCUUUGGGGGAAAGAUUUAUUGCCGAUAGAUCAGCCCGCGUUAGAUUAGCUAGUUGGUAGGGUAAAGGCCUACCAAGGCUACGAUCUAUAGCUGGUCUGAGAGGAUGAUCAGCCACACUGGGACUGAGACACGGCCCAG
Molecule: ribosomal RNA, 278 nt
Filed under: uncultured bacterium
Lineage: Bacteria
Description: partial 16S ribosomal RNA
Rfam family: Bacterial small subunit ribosomal RNA
Source: RNAcentral